GACGAACGCUGGCGGCGUGCUUAACACAUGCAAGUCGAACGGGCCCGCCCCUGUUUUUGGGGGUGGGUUGAGUGGCGAACGGGUGAGUAUCACGUGAGUAACCUGCCCCCUGCUCCUGGAUAACUGCUUGAAAGGGCGGCUAAUACGGGGUGUGCCGGCUGGUCCGCAUGGGCCUGGUCGGGAUAGUUUCAUCUUCGGGUGUUUCGGUGGGGGAUGGGCUCGCGGCCUAUCAGCUUGUUGGGGGGGUGAUGGCCCACCAAGGCGGUGACGGGUAGCCGGCCUGAGAGGGUGGGCGGCCACACUGGGACUGAGACACGGCCCAGACUCCUGCGGGAGGCAGCAGUGGGGGGUAGUGCACAAUGGGCGGAAGCCUGAUGCAGCGACGUCGCGUGAGGGAUGGAGGCCGUCGGGUUGUGAACCUCUUUCUCCGGUGGUGAAGGCCCUGUCCGUUGCGGCGGGGUUGACGGUAGCCGGGUAUGAAGCGCCGGCUAACUACGUG
This 499-nucleotide ribosomal RNA is filed under the name uncultured bacterium. RNAcentral's name for it is "partial 16S ribosomal RNA". It matches the Rfam family "Bacterial small subunit ribosomal RNA", at positions 28 to 507 of the family's 1533-position model. The record is from RNAcentral.